CCCUUAGACGUUCUGGGCCGCACGCGCGCUACACUGACCAGUGCAACAAGCAUCCGUCCUUGGCCGACAGGCCCGGGCAAUCUUUGAACGCUGGUCGUGAUGGGGAUAGACUUUUGCAAUUUUUGGUCUUCAACGAGGAAUUCCUAGUAAACGCAAGUCAUCAACUUGUAUUGAUUACGUCCCUGCCCUUUGUACACACCGCCCGUCGCACCUACCGAUUGAAUGGUCCGGUGAAGCCUCCGGAUUGGCGCGCACCUCGGUGCCGCCGAGAAGUUGGCUAAACCUUACCAUUUAGAGGAAGGUGAAGUCGUANCA
Molecule: ribosomal RNA, 315 nt
Filed under: uncultured eukaryote
Lineage: Eukaryota
Description: partial 18S ribosomal RNA
Rfam family: Eukaryotic small subunit ribosomal RNA
Source: RNAcentral